RNAcentral lists this ribosomal RNA (433 nucleotides) under uncultured bacterium. RNAcentral's name for it is "partial 16S ribosomal RNA". It matches the Rfam family "Bacterial small subunit ribosomal RNA", at positions 29 to 507 of the family's 1533-position model. The record is from RNAcentral.
AACGAACGCUGGCGGCAUGCCUAACACAUGCAAGUCGAACGAUACCUUCGGGUCUAGUGGCGCACGGGUGCGUAACGCGUGGGAACCUGCCCUUAGGUUCGGAAUAACUCCCCGAAAGGGGUGCUAAUACCGGAUAAUGUCUUCGGACCAAAGAUUUAUCGCCUUUGGAUGGGCCCGCGUUGGAUUAGCUAGUUGGUAGGGUAAAAGCCUACCAAGGCGACGAUCCAUAGCUGGUCUGAGAGGAUGAUCAGCCACACUGGGACUGAGACACGGCCCAGACUCCUACGGGAGGCAGCAGUGGGGAAUAUUGGACAAUGGGCGAAAGCCUGAUCCAGCAAUGCCGCGUGAGUGAUGAAGGCCUUAGGGUUGUAAAGCUCUUGUACCCGGGAUGAUAAUGACAGUACCGGGAGAAUAAGCUCCGGCUAACUCCGUG